RNAcentral lists this ribosomal RNA (426 nucleotides) under uncultured bacterium. RNAcentral's name for it is "bacterial SSU rRNA". It matches the Rfam family "Bacterial small subunit ribosomal RNA", at positions 354 to 796 of the family's 1533-position model. The record is from RNAcentral.
GCAGGGAAUAUUGUGCAAUGGGCGAAAGCCUGACACAGCGACGCCGCGUGAGGGAAGAAGGCCUUCGGGUUGUAAACCUCUUUUCUCAGGGAAAAAUAAUGAUGGUACCUGAGGAAUAAGUGUCGGCUAACUACGUGCCAGCAGCAGCGGUAAUACGUAGGACACGAGCGUUAUCCGGAUUCACUGGGCGUAAAGAGAGCGUAGGCGGUCCUUCAAGUCGAGUGUGAAAUCUCCUGGCUCAACUGGGAGAAGCCAUUCGAUACUGUUGGACUAGAGGACAGCAGAGGGAGACGGAAUUCCCGGUGUAGUGGUGAAAUGCGUAGAUAUCGGGAGGAACACCCGUGGCGAAGGCGGUCUCCUGGGCUGCACCUGACGCUGAGGCCCGAAAGCGCGGGGAGCGAACAGGAUCAGAUACCCCUGUAGUCC